This 429-nucleotide ribosomal RNA is filed under the name Actinomycetes bacterium. RNAcentral describes it as "Actinobacteria bacterium partial 16S ribosomal RNA". It matches the Rfam family "Bacterial small subunit ribosomal RNA", at positions 355 to 776 of the family's 1533-position model. The record is from RNAcentral. Lineage: Bacteria; Bacillati; Actinomycetota; Actinomycetes.
UAGGGAAUCUUCCGCAAUGGGCGAAAGCCUGACGGAGCAACGCCGCGUGAGUGAUGAAGGUCUUCGGAUCGUAAAACUCUGUUAUUAGGGAAGAACAAAUGUGUAAGUAACUAUGCACGUCUUGACGGUACCUAAUCAGAAAGCCACGGCUAACUACGUGCCAGCAGCCGCGGUAAUACGUAGGUGGCAAGCGUUAUCCGGAAUUAUUGGGCGUAAAGCGCGCGUAGGCGGUUUUUUAAGUCUGAUGUGAAAGCCCACGGCUCAACCGUGGAGGGUCAUUGGAAACUGGCAGACUUGAGUGCAGAAGAGGAAAGUGGAAUUCCAUGUGUAGCGGUGAAAUGAGCAGAGAUAUGGAGGAACACCAGUGGCGAAGGCGACUUUCUGGUCUGUAACUGACGCUGAUGUGCGAAAGCGUGGGGAUCAAACAGG